UUUUACAUUACUACUAAUACGUUUAUACAACUGCAUUCGAAAUGUGUUAAAGCGUGUCUGGAUAUUUUCUGAGACCUUACUGGUGCGCAGCAUCGGGUUAAGUGCUAAGGUUGCCGGCUUGUGCACGUGUGUUAGCCGUUCAUAUAUCUUCUAUUGCACUUUUUGUUUUGCAUCGUUACCCUCUUAACCUAUUCUCCACUCUCAAUCGAACGGAAUCGAGUUGCAUCGAUACAUAGAGCGUACGAAACGCGCGAGAACGGAAAGCAGAGUCGAUGCCACGGAGGUGCACGAAGGAGGCCGAGCGGGUUCGGAAGCAGCCGAGGCCAUCUGUUACGCUCGGUUCCCACGCUUCCGCCGUCGCCUUUCCCCGCCUUUGGACCAGUCCUCAUCGGUCCUUUUCUUGCCCCCUCUUUCGCCGACACUGCCGGCUCUCGCCGUCGCUUUAUUUUAUAUAGCCGGAGAAUGCUUGGACGUCUUUAACCGCGAGUCCGCGUUUUCUGUUACGAACUUACGAGGCGAUACUUUUGUCCAUUAUCGCGAGAUUUCUGCUCGUCGUAGUUUCCGUUUGGCUCGUUCUCGAGGCGUUAAGUAAAAGUUGUACGACUAGUCUUGUAAGGAUAGGACCGGCCAAAAUCUUUAUCUCUUUCGGUCCCGUUCUGUGUACGUCACAACGAAAACAAAUGUUCCAAGAUGUUCCUUACGUAUUUUACUUUUUUAUGUUCGUUUGAAAUAAAUCGAAUGUUUUGCAGCAAAA
This is a long non-coding RNA of Bombus pascuorum, 754 nucleotides long. RefSeq lists it as uncharacterized. Lineage: Eukaryota; Metazoa; Arthropoda; Insecta; Hymenoptera; Apidae. The record is from RefSeq and is a predicted model, not a curated record. The transcript has 2 exons.